This 465-nucleotide ribosomal RNA is filed under the name uncultured bacterium. RNAcentral describes it as "partial 16S ribosomal RNA". It matches the Rfam family "Bacterial small subunit ribosomal RNA", at positions 28 to 507 of the family's 1533-position model. The record is from RNAcentral.
GACGAACGCUGGCGGCGUGCUUAACACAUGCAAGUCGAACGGAAAGGCCCCCUUGUGGGGUACUCGAGUGGCGAACGGGUGAGUAACACGUGAGUAACCUACCCUUGACUUUGGGAUAACUUCAGGAAACUGGGGCUAAUACCGGAUAGGAGCUCCUGCUGCAUGGUGGGGGUUGGAAAGUGUCGGCGGUUGGGGAUGGACUCGCGGCUUAUCAGCUUGUUGGUGGGGUAGUGGCUCACCAAGGCUUUGACGGGUAGCCGGCCUGAGAGGGUGACCGGCCACAUUGGGACUGAGAUACGGCACAGACUCCUACGGGAGGCAGCAGUGGGGAAUAGUGCACAAUGGGCGGAAGCCUGAUGCAGCAACGCCGCGUGCGGGAUGACGGCCUUCGGGUUGUAAACCGCUUUCGCCUGUGACGAAGCGUGAGUGACGGUAAUGGGUAAAGAAGCACCGGCUAACUACGUG